RNAcentral lists this ribosomal RNA (497 nucleotides) under uncultured bacterium. Its description in RNAcentral is "partial 16S ribosomal RNA". It matches the Rfam family "Bacterial small subunit ribosomal RNA", at positions 28 to 507 of the family's 1533-position model. The record is from RNAcentral.
GAUGAACGCUGGCGGCGUGCCUAAUACAUGCAAGUAGAACGCUGAAGGAAGGAGCUUGCUCUUUCCGGAUGAGUUGCGAACGGGUGAGUAACGCGUAGGUAACCUGCCUGUUAGCGGGGGAUAACUAUUGGAAACGAUAGCUAAUACCGCAUAACAGUAGAUGUUGCAUGAUAUCUACUUAAAAGGUGCAAUUGCACCACUACCAGAUGGACCUGCGUUGUAUUAGCUAGUUGGUGAGGUAACGGCUCAACAAGGCGACGAUACCGAGCCCACCUGAGAGGGUGAUCGGCCAAACUGGGACUGGGACACGGCCCAGACUCCUACGGGAGGCAGCAGUAGGGAAUCUUCGGCAAUGGACGGAAGUCUGGACGAGCAACGCCGGGUGAGUGAAGAAGGUUUUCGGAUCGUAAAGCUCUGUUGUAAGAGGAGAACGAGUGUGAGAGUGGAAAGUUCACACUGUGACGGUAUCUUACCAGAAAGGGACGGCUAACUACGUG